GAGUUUGAUCGUGGCUCAGAACGAACGCUGGCGGCAGGCCCCAAACAUGCAAGUCUAGGGGGCGUAGCAAUACGUCACCGGCGGACGGGUGCGUAACACGUGGGAAUGUACCUACUGGUUCGGAACAACUCAGGGAAACUUGAGCUAAUACCGAAUGAGCCCGAAAGGGGAAAGAUUUAUCGCCAGUAGAUCAGCCCGCGUCCGAUUAGCUAGUUGGUGAGGUAAAGGCUCACCAAGGCGACGAUCGGUAGCUGUUCUGAGAGGAAGAUCAGCCACACUGGGACUGAGACACGGCCCAGACUCCUACGGGAGGCAGCAGUUGGGAAUCUUGGACAAUGGGGGAAACCCUGAUCCAGCCAUGCCGCGUGAGUGAUGAAGGCCUUCGGGUUGUAAACUCUUUCGACGGGGACGAUAAUGACGGUACCCGUAGAAGAAGACUCCGGCUAACUUCGUGCCAGCCGCCGCCGUAAC
RNAcentral lists this ribosomal RNA (471 nucleotides) under uncultured Alphaproteobacteria bacterium. Its description in RNAcentral is "bacterial SSU rRNA". It matches the Rfam family "Bacterial small subunit ribosomal RNA", at positions 9 to 524 of the family's 1533-position model. Lineage: Bacteria; Pseudomonadati; Pseudomonadota; Alphaproteobacteria. The record is from RNAcentral.